RNAcentral lists this ribosomal RNA (2926 nucleotides) under Escherichia coli. Its description in RNAcentral is "bacterial LSU rRNA". It matches the Rfam family "Bacterial large subunit ribosomal RNA". Lineage: Bacteria; Pseudomonadati; Pseudomonadota; Gammaproteobacteria; Enterobacterales; Enterobacteriaceae. The record is from RNAcentral.
GGGUUGUGAGGUUAAGCGACUAAGCGUACACGGUGGAUGCCCUGGCAGUCAGAGGCGAUGAAGGACGUGCUAAUCUGCGAUAAGCGUCGGUAAGGUGAUAUGAACCGUUAUAACCGGCGAUUUCCGAAUGGGGAAACCCAGUGUGAUUCGUCACACUAUCAUUAACUGAAUCCAUAGGUUAAUGAGGCGAACCGGGGGAACUGAAACAUCUAAGUACCCCGAGGAAAAGAAAUCAACCGAGAUUCCCCCAGUAGCGGCGAGCGAACGGGGAGGAGCCCAGAGCCUGAAUCAGUGUGUGUGUUAGUGGAAGCGUCUGGAAAGGCGCGCGAUACAGGGUGACAGCCCCGUACACAAAAAUGCACAUGCUGUGAGCUCGAUGAGUAGGGCGGGACACGUGGUAUCCUGUCUGAAUAUGGGGGGACCAUCCUCCAAGGCUAAAUACUCCUGACUGACCGAUAGUGAACCAGUACCGUGAGGGAAAGGCGAAAAGAACCCCGGCGAGGGGAGUGAAAAAGAACCUGAAACCGUGUACGUACAAGCAGUGGGAGCCUCUUUAUGGGGUGACUGCGUACCUUUUGUAUAAUGGGUCAGCGACUUAUAUUCUGUAGCAAGGUUAACCGAAUAGGGGAGCCGAAGGGAAACCGAGUCUUAACUGGGCGUUAAGUUGCAGGGUAUAGACCCGAAACCCGGUGAUCUAGCCAUGGGCAGGUUGAAGGUUGGGUAACACUAACUGGAGGACCGAACCGACUAAUGUUGAAAAAUUAGCGGAUGACUUGUGGCUGGGGGUGAAAGGCCAAUCAAACCGGGAGAUAGCUGGUUCUCCCCGAAAGCUAUUUAGGUAGCGCCUCGUGAACUCAUCUCCGGGGGUAGAGCACUGUUUCGGCAAGGGGGUCAUCCCGACUUACCAACCCGAUGCAAACUGCGAAUACCGGAGAAUGUUAUCACGGGAGACACACGGCGGGUGCUAACGUCCGUCGUGAAGAGGGAAACAACCCAGACCGCCAGCUAAGGUCCCAAAGUCAUGGUUAAGUGGGAAACGAUGUGGGAAGGCCCAGACAGCCAGGAUGUUGGCUUAGAAGCAGCCAUCAUUUAAAGAAAGCGUAAUAGCUCACUGGUCGAGUCGGCCUGCGCGGAAGAUGUAACGGGGCUAAACCAUGCACCGAAGCUGCGGCAGCGACGCUUAUGCGUUGUUGGGUAGGGGAGCGUUCUGUAAGCCUGCGAAGGUGUACUGUGAGGUAUGCUGGAGGUAUCAGAAGUGCGAAUGCUGACAUAAGUAACGAUAAAGCGGGUGAAAAGCCCGCUCGCCGGAAGACCAAGGGUUCCUGUCCAACGUUAAUCGGGGCAGGGUGAGUCGACCCCUAAGGCGAGGCCGAAAGGCGUAGUCGAUGGGAAACAGGUUAAUAUUCCUGUACUUGGUGUUACUGCGAAGGGGGGACGGAGAAGGCUAUGUUGGCCGGGCGACGGUUGUCCCGGUUUAAGCGUGUAGGCUGGUUUUCCAGGCAAAUCCGGAAAAUCAAGGCUGAGGCGUGAUGACGAGGCACUACGGUGCUGAAGCAACAAAUGCCCUGCUUCCAGGAAAAGCCUCUAAGCAUCAGGUAACAUCAAAUCGUACCCCAAACCGACACAGGUGGUCAGGUAGAGAAUACCAAGGCGCUUGAGAGAACUCGGGUGAAGGAACUAGGCAAAAUGGUGCCGUAACUUCGGGAGAAGGCACGCUGAUACGUAGGUGAAGUCCCUUGCGGAUGGAGCUGAAAUCAGUCGAAGAUACCAGCUGGCUGCAACUGUUUAUUAAAAACACAGCACUGUGCAAACACGAAAGUGGACGUAUACGGUGUGACGCCUGCCCGGUGCCGGAAGGUUAAUUGAUGGGGUUAGCGGUAACGCGAAGCUCUUGAUCGAAGCCCCGGUAAACGGCGGCCGUAACUAUAACGGUCCUAAGGUAGCGAAAUUCCUUGUCGGGUAAGUUCCGACCUGCACGAAUGGCGUAAUGAUGGCCAGGCUGUCUCCACCCGAGACUCAGUGAAAUUGAACUCGCUGUGAAGAUGCAGUGUACCCGCGGCAAGACGGAAAGACCCCGUGAACCUUUACUAUAGCUUGACACUGAACAUUGAGCCUUGAUGUGUAGGAUAGGUGGGAGGCUUUGAAGUGUGGACGCCAGUCUGCAUGGAGCCGACCUUGAAAUACCACCCUUUAAUGUUUGAUGUUCUAACGUUGGCCCCUAAUCGGGGUUGCGGACAGUGUCUGGUGGGUAGUUUGACUGGGGCGGUCUCCUCCUAAAGAGUAACGGAGGAGCACGAAGGUUGGCUAAUCCUGGUCGGACAUCAGGAGGUUAGUGCAAUGGCAUAAGCCAGCUUGACUGCGAGCGUGACGGCGCGAGCAGGUGCGAAAGCAGGUCAUAGUGAUCCGGUGGUUCUGAAUGGAAGGGCCAUCGCUCAACGGAUAAAAGGUACUCCGGGGAUAACAGGCUGAUACCGCCCAAGAGUUCAUAUCGACGGCGGUGUUUGGCACCUCGAUGUCGGCUCAUCACAUCCUGGGGCUGAAGUAGGUCCCAAGGGUAUGGCUGUUCGCCAUUUAAAGUGGUACGCGAGCUGGGUUUAGAACGUCGUGAGACAGUUCGGUCCCUAUCUGCCGUGGGCGCUGGAGAACUGAGGGGGGCUGCUCCUAGUACGAGAGGACCGGAGUGGACGCAUCACUGGUGUUCGGGUUGUCAUGCCAAUGGCACUGCCCGGUAGCUAAAUGCGGAAGAGAUAAGUGCUGAAAGCAUCUAAGCACGAAACUUGCCCCGAGAUGAGUUCUCCCUGACUCCUUGAGAGUCCUGAAGGAACGUUGAAGACGACGACGUUGAUAGGCCGGGUGUGUAAGCGCAGCGAUGCGUUGAGCUAACCGGUACUAAUGAACCGUGAGGCUUAACCUUACAACGCCGAAG